ACGGGUGAGUAAUGCCUAGGAAUCUGCCUGGUAGUGGGGGAUAACGUUCGGAAACGAACGCUAAUACCGCAUACGUCCUACGGGAGAAAGCAGGGGACCUUCGGGCCUUGCGCUAUCAGAUGAGCCUAGGUCGGAUUAGCUAGUUGGUGAGGUAAUGGCUCACCAAGGCGACGAUCCGUAACUGGUCUGAGAGGAUGAUCAGUCACACUGGAACUGAGACACGGUCCAGACUCCUACGGGAGGCAGCAGUGGGGAAUAUUGGACAAUGGGCGAAAGCCUGAUCCAGCCAUGCCGCGUGUGUGAAGAAGGUCUUCGGAUUGUAAAGCACUUUAAGUUGGGAGGAAGGGCAGUUACCUAAUACGUGAUUGUUUUGACGUUACCGACAGAAUAAGCACCGGCUAACUCUGUGCCAGCAGCCGCGGUAAUACAGAGGGUGCAAGCGUUAAUCGGAAUUACUGGGCGUAAAGCGCGCGUAGGUGGUUCGUUAAGUUGGAUGUGAAAUCCCCGGGCUCAACCUGGGAACUGCAUUCAAAACUGUCGAGCUAGAGUAUGGUAGAGGGUGGUGGAAUUUCCUGUGUAGCGG
This 583-nucleotide ribosomal RNA is filed under the name Pseudomonas sp. StFRB479. Its description in RNAcentral is "bacterial SSU rRNA". It matches the Rfam family "Bacterial small subunit ribosomal RNA", at positions 102 to 681 of the family's 1533-position model. The record is from RNAcentral. Lineage: Bacteria; Pseudomonadati; Pseudomonadota; Gammaproteobacteria; Pseudomonadales; Pseudomonadaceae.